This 372-nucleotide ribosomal RNA is filed under the name uncultured Bacteroidales bacterium. RNAcentral's name for it is "bacterial SSU rRNA". It matches the Rfam family "Bacterial small subunit ribosomal RNA", at positions 22 to 393 of the family's 1533-position model. Lineage: Bacteria; Pseudomonadati; Bacteroidota; Bacteroidia; Bacteroidales. The record is from RNAcentral.
GCUCAGGAUGAACGCUAGCUACAGGCUUAACACAUGCAAGUCGAGGGGUAGCAGGGUAGCAAUACCGCUGACGACCGGCGCACGGGUGAGUAACACGUAUCCAACCUUCCCAUAACUCGGGGAUAGCCUUUCGAAAGAAAGAUUAAUACCCGAUAGUGCUUAUAUAAGGCAUCUUAAAUAAGUUAAAGAUUUAUUGGUUAUGGAUGGGGAUGCGCUCCAUUAGAUAGUUGGUGAGGUAACGGCUCACCAAGUCUUCGAUGGAUAGGGGUUCUGAGAGGAAGGUCCCCCACAUUGGUACUGAGACACGGACCAAACUCCUACGGGAGGCAGCAGUGAGGAAUAUUGGUCAAUGGGCGAGAGCCUGAACCAGCC